This 395-nucleotide ribosomal RNA is filed under the name uncultured bacterium. RNAcentral describes it as "bacterial SSU rRNA". It matches the Rfam family "Bacterial small subunit ribosomal RNA", at positions 64 to 507 of the family's 1533-position model. The record is from RNAcentral.
GAGCGCCCCGCAAGGGGAGCGGCAGACGGGAGAGUAACACGUGGGAACGUACCUUUCGGUUCGGAACAACCCAGGGAAACUUGGGCUAAUACCGGAUACGCCCGCAAGGGGAAAGAUUUAUCGCCGGAAGAUCGGCCCGCGUCUGAUUAGCUAGUUGGUGAGGUAACGGCUCACCAAGGCGACGAUCAGUAGCUGGUCUGAGAGGAUGAUCAGCCUCACUGGGACUGAGACACGGCCCAGACUCCUACGGGAGGCAGCAGUGGGGAAUAUUGGACAAUGGGCGCAAGCCUGAUCCAGCCAUGCCGCGUGGGUGAUGAAGGCCCUAGGGUUGUAAAGCCCUUUCGGCGGGGAAGAUAAUGACGGUACCCGCAGAAGAAGCCCCGGCUAACUUCGUG